UACGGAGGCUCCUAGCGUUGUUCGGAAUUACUGGGCGUAAAGGGAGCGCAGGCGGAUCGGUAAGUCUGAAGUGGAAUCCCGGGGCUCAACCUCGGACGUGCUUCGGAUACUGCCGGUCUUGAGUGUGUGAGAGGAAAGCGGAAUUCAGGGUGUAGCGGUGAAAUGCUUAGAUAUCCUGAGGAACACCAAUGGCGAAAGCAGCUUUCUGGCACACAACUGACGCUGAGGCUCGAAAGCGUGGGUAGCGAACGGG
This 253-nucleotide unclassified non-coding RNA is filed under the name uncultured bacterium. RNAcentral's name for it is "partial 16S ribosomal RNA". It matches the Rfam family "Bacterial small subunit ribosomal RNA", at positions 524 to 776 of the family's 1533-position model. RNAcentral also lists the same sequence under 1 other name. The record is from RNAcentral.